This 148-nucleotide non-coding RNA is filed under the name Nomascus leucogenys (northern white-cheeked gibbon). The record is from Rfam by way of RNAcentral. Lineage: Eukaryota; Metazoa; Chordata; Mammalia; Primates; Hylobatidae.
GCCAGGCGUGGUGGCGCAUGCCUGUAAUCCCAGCUACUCAGGAGGCUGAGGCAGGAGAAUCGCUUGAACCCGGGAGGCGGAGGUUGCAGUGAGCCGAGAUCACACCACUGCACUUCAGCCUGGGUGACAGAGCGAGACUCCAUCUCAA